RNAcentral lists this ribosomal RNA (422 nucleotides) under uncultured bacterium. Its description in RNAcentral is "partial 16S ribosomal RNA". It matches the Rfam family "Bacterial small subunit ribosomal RNA", at positions 359 to 773 of the family's 1533-position model. The record is from RNAcentral.
GAAUUUUGGACAAUGGGCGAAAGCCUGAUCCAGCAAUGCCGCGUGCAGGAUGAAGGCCUUCGGGUUGUAAACUGCUUUUUUACGGAACGAAAAGCUUUGGGUUAAUACCCUGGAGUCAUGCAGGUACCGUAAGCAUAAGCACCGGCUAACUAAGCUCCCGACGCCGCGGUAAUACGUAGGGUGCCAGCGUUAAUCGGAAUUACUGGGCGUAAAGCGUGCGCAGGCGGUUUUGUAAGACAGAGGUGAAAUCCCCGGGCUCAACCUGGGAACUGCCUUUGUGACUGCAAGGCUAGAGUACGGCAGAGGGGGGUGGAAUUCCGCGUGUAGCAGUGAAAUGCGUAGAUAUGCGGAGGAACACCGAUGGCGAAGGCAACCCCCUGGGCCUGUACUGACGCUCAUGCACGAAAGCGUGGGGAGCAAAC